CGUCUUCCCAUUUCUAGAGCGCAAGCAAAAGAGAAUGAGAGACCACAUUUCCUAGGAUGCCCUUCGGUGCGUUCAGCCUCACUUCCCCCUUAGGCGGAUAGAAGGAUACAGGGAAGCCUGGUAAAAACAGAAUUAAAGGGAAUGGGUGUCGGAAGCGGAGGGUCUGAAGUUCACGACUCCUAGAAGGGGAGGGGAAUGAAAGGCUCUCAGUGAAGAAGAGAGCGAGCAAGCACAAGCAGGGGGAGUGGCAGGCAGAGGAAGAAGCAGGCUCCCCGCCAAGCAAGGACCCCGACGUGGGACUCGGAUCCCAGGAUCCCGGCUGGGAUCAUGACCCAAGCUGAAGGCAGACGCUUAACCAACCGAGCCACCCAGGCAUCCCAAGGGGCAAUGAUAUCAACCAUACCAAGUUCAGUCCAGAACCCUUCAGAUCAACUUACCAAUAAGUUCAAUAUGUAAAACAGACCAAUAUGGCUGAAAUGGAAAUGAAUGAGAGUUAAUGCAACUUGCCAGCAGUGCUUACCCCCAUUCCCACCUCCCCACAAGGUGUACUUUGAAAACCACUGGAAAAACCCAGCCCCUCAUAAAUGUCUUGAAGUGCCCCAUCUGUAACAUGCUACAUUAAAAUGUUUACUUAUCCCAA
Molecule: non-coding RNA, 640 nt
Organism: Callorhinus ursinus (northern fur seal)
Lineage: Eukaryota; Metazoa; Chordata; Mammalia; Carnivora; Otariidae
Source: RefSeq, a predicted model, not a curated record